GACAGAGGAGCCAAGCGUUGUCCGGACUGACUGGGCGUAAAGCGCACGCAGGCGGCGCUGUGCGUGGGGUGUGAAAGCUCUUGGCUUAACUGAGAGAGGCCAUCCCCAUACGGCAGCGCUCGAGCGGUGCAGAGGUCCGCGGAAUUGCCGGUGUAGUGGUGAAAUGCGUAGAGAUCAGGAAGAACACCGGUGGCGAAAGCGCUCUGCUGGACCUAAACUGACACUGAGGGACGAAAGCUAGGGGAGCGAAUGGG
Molecule: ribosomal RNA, 254 nt
Filed under: uncultured bacterium
Lineage: Bacteria
Description: partial 16S ribosomal RNA
Rfam family: Bacterial small subunit ribosomal RNA
Source: RNAcentral